ACUCUCUCUAAUUUACUAGAAACCAAACGGACUGUUUAGAAGCCCUCAGCCUGGCAGUCUGGGUUGGGUUUUUCUGGGGGGUGGGUUGGGGCGGGGGUUGUUUUAUUUUUUUGCUAUUCUCCUUUGACCAAAAGGGCCAUUAAUUGUUGGGAGUUUGAAAGCUACCUGAUUCCAUGAAACAGAGGGGAUUUCCAUGAGUAAUAAUUCAGACCGUGCUUGUGUAGGGCGCUGUGGCUCGAGUAAAUUGAUCCAGCUGCUUGCAAAGCUCAUGGAAAACGGCCCCGGGGAGAGGACGGCGGCGUCUGCAGCUGGGGCAGCUGCGGCCGCUGCUGGCGCUGUCACGUGGUCCCGCCGGCGUCCGCCCCCUGCGUCCCAUUCCCAGCUCCAGGCGCCCCCCAUCCCCCGCUGCCCGAACCCCCGGUUCCUCGAGAGGUCGUCGCCUUGCAGCCCUGGCUGAUUUCGAAGGCUAAAGGCGAUUCUUCAACACAAAUGGCGUCUUGCUCUGUCACCCAGGCUGGAGUGCAGUGGUGCGAUCUCGGCUCACUGCAACCUCUGCCCUUCUGGUUCAAGCAAUUCUCCCUGCCUCAGCCUGAGGUUUCUCCAGGACGUCACCUGUAUGAGGUACACAGUGUGAUGACACACUCUGUGCUUUUCCUACUUGUGUCCACGUGAGUGUCUGGAGCUGCCCUUCAAGGAGAGCAAUAGAUGAAUGAUUCUGCCUUCCCGCUGAGAGGGAUGUGGGUCCUGCGGAUGGUCGGGGUGAAGCUUCCUCUCCUUUCUGCUGACAGCACUUCCUCAUUAAAUGCAGAGAUCUGCAAAAAGGGAAAAUAAAAACACAAGAAGAAAAAUGAGGCAUCAAAGACCCUCCUCUUAUGCCCAUGGGGAUUUGGAGGACGGGUUAUUUCUUUGCUUUCCCAAAGGGCCCAAGAAGAGCUUCCGGGGAGAGGGAGAGCACCCUUUUUGAGGAUUCCCGACAAGCCUGUCUCCCGAGGGCUCCUGUAGGAGAGGCGGUAACUAGGGCGCAGAUCAUUUUCUGUGUUAAGGGCAUCCAAGGAGAGAAGAGAGUGACCGCCUAUGACUUGGGAGGCCCGUAAAGAUGGGGUCCUGGAUGAGCAGUAGCAAGGAGGGUACGGGGAUGGGUGUGCCUUGGGGGCUGGCAGUGAGGACGGCAUCGUCCCUAGAGAGUUUAAAGACAAGAAUCAAUCCAGCUCCAAGUGAGACUGCUUUUAAACCAUUUUAAUUGCCACACACCAGUAAGUUCAAGCAAUAUCAGUGAUAAAAUCUCCUUCCGUUGGGCAGCCAGUCCUUCUGCACCCUCCUGGUGUGUCCUGAGUAAGUGGGGUAGGGAGGAGCUAGUGUGGCCCGAAGACAAAGGAACCCGAGAUAUUUCUUUCCUCUUCCAAGCAAGAGAGGCUGGAGACAGCACAUGAGUGUUCAGGGAUCCUUGGGGGUCAAAAGAGUCACCUGAGAGAAAGGAAGAGAGGGGAACUGCCGCAGCUCAGUGAGGGGAACACCGCAGGCUCUGCCUCUCUUCCCCGGCUGUCUGGGAGGAGGGUCUGGAGUGGAGUCCAUGAGGGGCUGGGCGGGGCUGGGGCCCUACUUUGGAGGGAAUAUGGUAAGCAGACUGUACAGCCAAGCAGACAGUCCUGGAGGUUGAGGGCGUGACAAAGAACUGUAGCAUAUUCUGUGUGUAAAGACACCUUUGCCUUCUGUCCUGACCCGCAGACAGGUGCUUCUCCUGCCCUGCCGUGCUUCUGCCAUUUCUGGUGGAAAUAGCUCAAAAGACCCCUGCUUAUCCACAGAGCAGGGGCAUUUACCCAUUACAACCCCCUGGUGAAGUGACACGGUUAUGCCCAUUUCACAGACGAGGAAAUUGAGGCCCAGAAAGGGGCAGGAAACUUCCACAGCUGGGAAGCGGUGGAUCUGGGACUUGUUUGCCCCAGAGGCUGCCACCCUGGCACCUCACUGCCCUCAAAGGCUGACGGUGCCCCCAGCAGCUGUAACCAUUUCUUUCGAGUGCUUUUCAUUGUGUGGAAGAUCAUUUUGGGGGGUGCACAGAGCUCCCAGCUUAUUGUGAUUCAGCAAGACCCUGGCGUGUCACUUACGGGAGGUGGCCUUGCUGGGCAUAGUGCCGGCCAGCCAGAGACCCUCAGUGAACAGGGGGCGUUUCCAGAGGGCCUGGUGUUUUCUGCAUGGCAAGACUCCUACAGAGAGGCUGACCUGGUUUUCAGAGAGCAGUUUGCGUUUCGGGUGGCCCUGGGGGCACAUGUUCCCAUUGGAUUCCUGCACUGGAAGUAAGCUUGUGGGGCCGGGCUGCCAGCAGUGCCUGCCUUGUACCAGGGCUUUUUUGGUAUGGAAAACUUUAGAGAGGCGUCACCACCACCUCUUUUUUGCUCAGCAUUUGCUCAUCUCUCCCCACCUGCUUUUCAGGGCUCAAGCCUGGAAGAAGCCUUAGGACGUGGGGGAAAUGUCUAACGUGGAGUCCACCUGCUGAGCAGGACCGGGUGUGAAGGAAGAAGCUUUGUUCUGAUUCCUCAUGGCCCAGCCACCCCUCGCCUGAGCUGAGCCUGGCCACAGGGCCCGCCUGCAGGAAGGGCUGGCCCAUGGCUUCACACUGGGCUCAGGCUGCGCUAAGAGCCCCGGGUGAGGACCUCCAAGCCCAGGAAGCCUCAGUUGGCCAAAGUGCUAGAUGCGUGUGGUCUGCUUUCAUCCCCGCUUCCCUCAGAGCUUGCAUUUUCCAAAUUCAAGAGAGGCUCCACCUUCAAGAAGACCGGCCUGUCCCUGUUAUUUAUGUGUCCCCCUACCAUAUCUCCCUUUGUUCUGCAGAGCGGUACGCAUAAAAAGCUUUUGGGGA
This 2854-nucleotide long non-coding RNA is filed under the name Homo sapiens (human). RNAcentral's name for it is "HSALNT0299203". The record is from RNAcentral. Lineage: Eukaryota; Metazoa; Chordata; Mammalia; Primates; Hominidae.